This 180-nucleotide unclassified non-coding RNA is filed under the name uncultured Rhizobiaceae bacterium. Its description in RNAcentral is "partial 16S-23S ribosomal RNA intergenic spacer". The record is from RNAcentral. Lineage: Bacteria; Pseudomonadati; Pseudomonadota; Alphaproteobacteria; Hyphomicrobiales; Rhizobiaceae.
CCAUAGGUUUGCGCUACACUGUCANGUAUCCGCCCUUCGGACUGUGCUUCNACUGGGAGCGCCGGACGACCGGCGACUGGUCCUCUGGUCCUGUAUGGGCGAGCUCCUCGUAGGCAUUGANGUUCGGCGAGAUGGGCCCGUAGCUCAGUUGGUUAGAGCACACGCAUAAUAAGGCGUGGG